UACGUAGGGUGCGAGCGUUAAUCGGAAUUACUGGGCGUAAAGCGUGCGCAGGCGGUUCGUUGUGUCGGCGGUGAAAGCCCCGGGCUUAACCUGGGAAUGGCCGUUGAAACUGGCGAACUGGAGUGUGGCAGAGGGGGGUGGAAUUCCGCGUGUAGCAGUGAAAUGCGUAGAGAUGUGGCGGAACACCGAUGGCGAAGGCAGCCCCCUGGGUCGGGAUUGACGCUCAGGCACGAAAGCGUGGGGAGCAAACAGG
This 253-nucleotide ribosomal RNA is filed under the name uncultured bacterium. RNAcentral's name for it is "partial 16S ribosomal RNA". It matches the Rfam family "Bacterial small subunit ribosomal RNA", at positions 524 to 776 of the family's 1533-position model. The record is from RNAcentral.